RNAcentral lists this ribosomal RNA (1482 nucleotides) under metagenome. RNAcentral's name for it is "bacterial SSU rRNA". It matches the Rfam family "Bacterial small subunit ribosomal RNA". The record is from RNAcentral.
AGAGUUUGAUCCUGGCUCAGAUUGAACGCUGGCGGCAUGCCUUACACAUGCAAGUCGAACGGUAACGCGGGGGCAACCCUGGCGACGAGUGGCGAACGGGUGAGUAAUACAUCGGAACAUAUCCAGUAGCGGGGGAUAACCUAUCGAAAGAUGGACUAAUACCGCAUACGAUCUACGGAUGAAAGCAGGGGACCGCAAGGCCUUGCACUAUUGGAGUGGCCGAUGUCGGAUUAGCUAGUUGGUGGGGUAAAGGCUUACCAAGGCGACGAUCCGUAGCUGGUCUGAGAGGACGAUCAGCCACACUGGAACUGAGACACGGUCCAGACUCCUACGGGAGGCAGCAGUGGGGAAUUUUGGACAAUGGGCGCAAGCCUGAUCCAGCCAUGCCGCGUGAGUGAAGAAGGCCUUCGGGUUGUAAAGCUCUUUCGGUGAAGACGAAACGGUUAGCGCUAAUAACGCUGACUAAUGACGGUACUCACAGAAGAAGCACCGGCUAACUACGUGCCAGCAGCCGCGGUAAUACGUAGGGUGCAGGCGUUAAUCGGAAUUACUGGGCGUAAAGCGUGCGCAGGCGGUUUGCUAAGACAGGUGUGAAAUCCCCGGGCUUAACCUGGGAAUUGCGCUUGUAACUGGCAAGCUAGAGUGUGGCAGAGGGGGGUGGAAUUCCACGUGUAGCAGUGAAAUGCGUAGAUAUGUGGAGGAACACCGAUGGCGAAGGCAGCCCCCUGGGUUAACACUGACGCUCAUGCACGAAAGCGUGGGGAGCGAACGGGAUUAGAGACCCCGGUAGUCCACGCCGUAAACGAUGCGAACCAGGUGCGCACUUGCCGCAAGGCAAGGGCGUGCCGCAGCUAACGCCAUAAGUUCGCCGCCUGGGGAGUACGGUCGCAAGGCUAAAACUCAAAGGAAUUGACGGGGGCCCGCACAAGCAGCGGAGCGUGUGGUUUAAUUCGAGCCUACACGAAAAACCUUACCUGGGUUUGACAUAGCGGUGGUAGGGAACCGAAAGGGGACCGACCUUCGGGAGCCGUUAUAGGUGCUGCAUGGCUGUCGUCAGCUCGUGUCGUGAGAUGUUCGGUUAAGUCCGAAAACGAGCGCAACCCCCGGAACCUGUUACACGUGUCAGGUUCGACUGCCCGUGAGAAACGGGAGGAAGGUGGGGAUGACGUCAAGUCAGCAUGGCCUUUAUAUCCAGGGCGACACACACGCUACAAUGGUCGGUACAAUUGGUUGCAAGAGCGCGAGCUGGAGCCAAUCCGAAAAGCCGAUCGUAGUUCGGAUUGCAGGCUGCAACUCGCCUGCAUGAAGCCGGAGUUGCUAGUAACCGCGCAUCAGCAGUGGCGCGGUGAAUACGUUCCCGGGCCUUGUACACACCGCCCGUCACGUCAUGGGAGCUGGUCACGCCUGAAGCCGGUGAGCUAACCGCAAGGAGGCGGCCGUCAAAGGCAGGGCUGGUGACUGGGACGAAGUCGUAACAAGGUA